UACACUCCUACGGGAGGCAGCAGUGGGGAAUAUUGCACAAUGGGCGCAAGCCUGAUGCAGCCAUGCCGCGUGUAUGAAGAAGGCCUUCGGGUUGUAAAGUACUUUCAGCGGGGAGGAAGGCGAUAAGGUUAAUAACCUUGUUGAUUGACGUUACCCGCAGAAGAAGCACCGGCUAACUCCGUGCCAGCAGCCGCGGUAAUACGGAGGGUGCAAGCGUUAAUCGGAAUUCCUGGGCGUAAAGCGCACGCAGGCGGUCUGUCAAGUCGGAUGUGAAAUCCCCGGGCUCAACCUGGGAACUGCAUUCGAAACUGGCAGGCUAGAGUCUUGUAGAGGGGGGUAGAAUUCCAGGUGUAGCGGUGAAAUGCGUAGAUAUCUGGAGGAAUACCGGUGGCGAAGGCGGCCCCCUGGACAAAGACUGACGCUCAGGUGCGAAAGCGUGGGGAGCAAACAGGAUUAGAAACCCUUGUAGUCCCAUG
This 476-nucleotide ribosomal RNA is filed under the name uncultured organism. RNAcentral describes it as "partial 16S ribosomal RNA". It matches the Rfam family "Bacterial small subunit ribosomal RNA", at positions 332 to 799 of the family's 1533-position model. The record is from RNAcentral.